AGCAGUCGCCGCGGAAUACGUAGGUGGCAAGCGUUGUCCGGAAUUAUUGGGCGUAAAGCGCGCGCAGGCGGAUCAGUUAGUCUGUCUUAAAAGUUCGGGGCUUAACCCCGUGAUGGGAUGGAAACUGCUGAUCUAGAGUAUCGGAGAGGAAAGUGGAAUUCCUAGUGUAGCGGUGAAAUGCGUAGAUAUUAGGAAGAACACCAGUGGCGAAGGCGACUCUCUGGACGAAAACUGACGCUGAGGCGCGAAAGCCAGGGGAGCGAAUGGGAUUAGAUACCCCUGUAGUCCCUGUCUCUUAUACAC
Molecule: ribosomal RNA, 303 nt
Filed under: uncultured bacterium
Lineage: Bacteria
Description: partial 16S ribosomal RNA
Rfam family: Bacterial small subunit ribosomal RNA
Source: RNAcentral